UACCUGCAGCUCGAGUGGUAACCGCUAUUAUUGGGCCUAAAGCGUCCGUAGCCGGUUUGGUAAAUAUCUGGGUAAAUCGUGAGGCUUAACUUCACGAAUUUCGGAUAGACUGCCAGACUUGGGAUCGGGGGAGGUCAGAGGUACUCCAGGGGUAGCGGUGAAAUGUUGUAAUCCUUGGAGGACACCGGUAGCGAAGGCGUCUGACUAGAACGAGUCCGACGGUGAGGGACGAAGCCCUGGGGCGCAAACCGGAUUAGAUACCCGGGUAGUCCAGGGUGUAAACAAUGUGGGCUUUGUAUUGGAGGUCCCACGUGGGCGUCCAGUGCAGAAGAGAAGUUGUUAAGCCCACCGCCUGGGAAGUACGGUCGCAAGGCUGAAACUUAAAGGAAUCGGCGGGGGAGCACAGCAACGGGAGGAGCGUGCGGUUU
RNAcentral lists this ribosomal RNA (428 nucleotides) under uncultured archaeon. RNAcentral's name for it is "bacterial SSU rRNA". It matches the Rfam family "Archaeal small subunit ribosomal RNA", at positions 474 to 903 of the family's 1478-position model. The record is from RNAcentral.